Molecule: ribosomal RNA, 252 nt
Filed under: uncultured bacterium
Lineage: Bacteria
Description: partial 16S ribosomal RNA
Rfam family: Bacterial small subunit ribosomal RNA
Source: RNAcentral
ACAGAGGGUGCGAGCGUUAAUCGGAUUUACUGGGCGUAAAGGGCGCGUAGGCGGUUUAGUGAGUGUGAUGUGAAAGCCCCGGGCUUAACCUGGGAAGUGCAUCGCAAACGACUAAACUGGAGUAUAAGAGAGGGUGGCGGAAUUUCCGGUGUAGCGGUGAAAUGCGUAGAGAUCGGAAGGAACGUCAAUGGCGAAGGCAGCCACCUGGCUUAAUACUGACGCUGAGGCGCGAAAGCGUGGGGAUCAAACAGG